Molecule: long non-coding RNA, 737 nt
Filed under: Homo sapiens (human)
Lineage: Eukaryota; Metazoa; Chordata; Mammalia; Primates; Hominidae
Description: HSALNT0045944
Source: RNAcentral
CAAGGCGGGAAAUGGGUGGGGGAGCAGCCAAGGGGAGGGGCAGGCUGUGGAGCUGCUUUGCCGGUGGUCGCGCGGGUGAACGGCAGUUUUGUCAGCUCCUUCAAGGACCAGGUCCUGCGCAUCAGUACUAGGGCCAUCCCCCAGGAGCAAAGGUCCUGGCUCCAUGUCUCAAUGUUUGGAGCCACUCUCACAACCUAGAUUGCUCUCUCCGUUACACCUUGCGCGUCUCUGACGACUGAGCCGAGAUACUUCUUUUGUCUCCUCCCAGCCUUGCUCAUCAACCCCCAACCCCCAAAUAUGUUUAUUUGAAUGCCAGUACUUCUAGCUCUAGAACCAACAUUUUCGGUUAACCAGCACCCUUGCCAAACACAUGACCGUGAUUUAAAACAACAAGAAAGCAACGACCCAACACAAUCUUGACGGCUACUGAUGCUAAAGACCGCUGCUGAAAGUUCUAAAUGGGGAGUGAGUAAUUCCAACCCUUGAAUUGGUUGCUUUGAGUUAAGGUUAAAGAAUGAUUCUUCUUGGCAGGGCGCUGUGGCUCACGCCUAUAAUCCCAGCACUUUGGGAGGCCGAGGCGGGCGGAUCACCUGAGAUCAGGAGUUCGAGACCAGCCUGGCCAACACGGUGAAACCACGUCUCUACUAAAAAUAACAAAAAUUAGCCGGGCGUGGUGGCUGGCGCCUAUAAUCCCAGCUACUAGGGAGGCUGAGGCUGGAGAAUCGCUUGAACCCGGG